UUCUUUGCAGGAAAGUCAAAUUAUGCUAUACCUACUCGACGCCGCUGUAGAAGAAAAUUUGGUCGAAAAUUCCAAUACACGGACGCUUCAAGAGACGCUCGCAACCCGUCUGAUAAGUACGAUGAAGAAAUGGCAUAAAUAAGUAUUUACAGAGUGCAUUUACAGAGGCGACAGUGCAUUUCACAUUCCCCAACUUAACGCCGAGAAUCACAAAUCUAACAACCAUGAUGGAUUACCUAGUGCCCUAAGGUUCUUAAUUACCUAUCCACCCUAGCAGAGCUAGUGCCAACUACCAACACAAGACUAGACAAGAUUAUGGCUCAUCCAUUUGGUAGACUACUGUGAUAUGACCCAGCAUCUCAAUCAAUUGACAUUGUACAUAUCUGCUGUCAACAGAAGGCAAAAAAUUCGUGGUUCAAGAGGAACUAUGGAAGAGGUGCCUCUCGGCCUAUCUAAGCAUGAUGCAAUGCUGCAACUGCUGGCUGUUGUCAAGAGCUGGCGUGCGAGCGUACACAAUAAACAAUUAUUUAGGACA
Molecule: long non-coding RNA, 535 nt
Organism: Leguminivora glycinivorella
Lineage: Eukaryota; Metazoa; Arthropoda; Insecta; Lepidoptera; Tortricidae
Exons: 3
Source: RefSeq, a predicted model, not a curated record